RNAcentral lists this ribosomal RNA (253 nucleotides) under uncultured bacterium. RNAcentral describes it as "partial 16S ribosomal RNA". It matches the Rfam family "Bacterial small subunit ribosomal RNA", at positions 524 to 776 of the family's 1533-position model. The record is from RNAcentral.
UACGUAGGGCGCAAGCGUUAUCCGGAAUUAUUGGGCGUAAAGAGCUCGUAGGCAGUUUGUCGCGUCUGCCGUGAAAGUCCGGGGCUCAACUCCGGAUCUGCGGUGGGUACGGGCAGACUAGAGUGCGGUAGGGGAGAAUGGAAUUCCCGGUGUAGCGGUGAAAUGCGCAGAUAUCGGGAGGAACACCGGUGGCGAAGGCGGUUCUCUGGGCCUUACCUGACGCUGAGGAGCGAAAGCGUGGGGAGCAAACAGG